This 3488-nucleotide long non-coding RNA is filed under the name Nicotiana tabacum (common tobacco). RNAcentral's name for it is "long non-coding RNA (NTAB_LNC007698)". Lineage: Eukaryota; Viridiplantae; Streptophyta; Magnoliopsida; Solanales; Solanaceae. The record is from RNAcentral.
AACCGUGGUAAAAACCAUCAAGAACUCUCCCAGUUCCCUUUGCACAAAUCAGACAUGUCAGGACUGAAUCCUUCUAACUCGAUCAAGCUAAGCAAGCCAUCAAAACCUAAGAGCAUCGCCACAAAAUACUUGAAAGAACUCAUUACCUCAAACACAUACAAGGAAUUAAUCAUAUCCUUACCAUACCGAUUCGGUCUACUAUCAAGCUACUCCAUCUAUCUUAAUUUCCUUCUGAUUCAUCUUCAACUUGAUAUUCUCUCUUACUGUAGCACCAAAAUUCCUCAACCUAGGAUUACCACACGAGACCCAAGCAUAAAACCACACUGUCUAAGACCCAUAAGCCGUUGAAUACCCUCUCAAAUAUUCCCAAAAACACCACAUAUGAAAUACUUGCUCUAAAGAACUUCUUGUGAAUCUAAAUACGUUACCUCCUAAUACUGAUACAUAGAAUCCCACAAUUAAUAUAGAAAACACCACAAGUCUUGACAUCUUCCAAGGAAAACUCAGUCUCUAACCACAUAUACAACUUUAACUUACCCUAUUGAUACAUGUAGAAUCUUGAACACAUUAGAACCACUCCUACGAGUUAUUCACUCUACUCAAACCGCAAUUAGUCUGAUCAAAUGAACCGAUCAACCUGUGCCUCAUUAGCAUUCCGACACCGUAGAAUGUGACAUUAUUCCAUUACAACCAAGCAACUUCCUACUCUAUGCAUCGAGCAUCCUUUACCAAUAACAACUCAAGACAUUUCGUGAUUCUUACACAAUUAUGAAGCAUACUAUAUACCUUGUUAAGAAUUUUUCCUUUACUCGAGCCAUCCUCGGUCUCAAUUUCUGCAAGCCAUAACUGAUUCACCCGCACGCCUUCAACUAGCACCAACGUAGCACCUAACCGUGCAAUCAACUACUCACAGCAGACUCCCCCACUUGCUUAGAGCCAUAGAUCAAAAUACUCUCAAUAACUCAUAACACUUAUACUCUAUUGAUGCCACAAUACCAUAGUGAGAUUAAACUCAAAUCUUUUAUAAACUGGUGAAAACACAGAUCAUCUAGAAUUUUAACUCUUCUGCAAAUCUCGCAAUUCACUCGCGCAACAGUCAAGCGUGCUCUCUGAAGUGACCCACAUUCAAUUUUUAACACUUAUAUUUCACUGGUAAGUGAGAUCUUCUAACAGACACAUAAAGAUCACACAACCCCACAAUUCUUCGCAGGGGAUAACCCAACUGCUUUGCCUUCCAUUAACAUUUAUGUAUAUCUUCCACUGUCACAAACCUUAUGCAAUCGCUUAGUCUUCCUGAGUCUGAACUCAUAUCGCAACAUGAAAUUUACUUCACUCUCAACUGGGAAACAUGAAAUGAUCCUUCACAUGCCCAUAACUCGGGGCUAUACCUUAAAUCAAGGUGGAAUUCCAGCACUUAAUAGUUUUUCUAUCCUCCAACAGGCCUUCCUUGCCGCUUCUAGAUCAUAUGGAUACAUCUCGCAGUACUAACAUGCUCAUCACAUAGUUAUCCAACCGUCACUCCCACUAAUAGGGACAAUACCAAACAUAUAAGUUCAAAACACUUGAUCACACAAUCAGCACCUCGGUGCUCAAUCCAUAGGAAAAGAUUCGGCCUCAAGUCCUCUAGACUGCCCAACAUCAAACUCACAAAGAUCACAUCUCGCCUUUGAUCAGGGGAUCACAAGCCAUCAGGGCACUUCUAACACUGAGCGCACAUGCGCGCAUAUGAACACGUGGAAGGAAUUUCAAGAGUUACUUUUCAAGCUGAAUCAAGGACGCACGAUGAGAAUUCAAGAAUGUGAAGUUUUUCCUAAUGGUUCUACAGCCUCCUGAGGAUAAAUACAGACGUCUCCGUACCGAUCCGCGAGACUCUACUAAAUCUGCUCAUGACUCGGAGAACUAUGUAGCCUAGGCUCUGAUACCAACUCGUCACGACCCAAAUCCUGACCCUGGUCGUGAUGGCGCCUCUCGUGAAGACAAGGCCAGCCAGUCUAACCCAACUCGUCCUUUAAAAUAGUAAUUUAACACAAAUAUAGUAUAAACAUGGUUUAAUAGUACCAAGUAACAGAAAGUAUGAAUAAGAAAUGCAAAAAUCCAGCCCGACACAGCCCUAACCGGGGUGUCACAAGUCACGAGCAUCUACUAGGGCAUAAAUACAACUAAAAGCAUGGAGUGUACAAAUACAGACUAAUGAAAUGAGGAGAGAGAAAAGCAGUACUGCGAACGCCGGCAGCUACCUUGCUAAACUCUGAUGACUCAGCCUCCGAUCAGCCAAAACAUACCUGAAUCUGCACACAAGGUGCAUGGACUAAUGUGAGUACUCCGACUCAGUGAGUAAAAAUAAUAAAUAAAGACUGAAGGCAAGAAAUCACGCAAAACCACAAGGCAUUCCAUACUGAAGCAGUAAAAUCACUUUAAACAGUAAAGCAGUGAGAAAUCAAGUGAAAAUCCCUUUUUCCAACAAGUAAAGCAAGUAGUUUACAAGUGAGUAACAAAAUGAUAGAAAUGUAAACAGCCCCUCGGGUAAAACAUGUACAACAAACCGCCCAUCGGGCAUAAUAUUAAUAGAACCAGCCUCUCGGGCUCAAUAUCAGAACAGUAACAACGCCUCGGGCUAUCUCACAAUCAGUCAUAUCAGCCCCUCGGGCAUAGUAUCAAUCACACAGAAUAAUGGGUACCCGCGCUGACUAUGGGUGUGCAGACUCCGGAGGGGCCCCUUACGGCCCAAGCGCUAUAUCAAGCCAUCUCGUGGCAUCAUCUCUCGACACUCGGCCUCACAUCACUCAGGCCACCUCGUGGCAUAUAAAGUAUCUCAGGCCCUCGGCCUCAUAUCACUCAACAUAUCCUCACAUAUGACCCUCGGCCUCACUCAGUCCGAAAAUUAUCACAAACCUCUCGGGCAUUUGUAAAACAGUAGUCAUCAACUCAAAACAUCAUUUAGAAAUAUCAUUUAUGUUUCAAAUCUGAGUAAAAGUGGCUGAGUUUGUAAAAUAGUAGAUAUCAACAGGACUGAGUUCAAGUAAUGAGUCAAAACAGUGAGGAAAUAGUGACAAAAUUUCCGAAAGGUUCAAAUAGUUGGCAGAAAGCCCAAAUAUGGCAAUCAACCCAAAUCAUGAUGAUAACAAACAAAUUUCAGUCAAAUACGCGGUAAAAUCAUCGACUGGGACGGACCAAGUCACAAUCCCCAGUAGUAAAAGACUCCACGCUAAUCAUCCAGUGCAUGUCUCACCUUAAUAUAGCACUACGAUGUGCAAUCUGGGGUUUUAAACCCUCAGAAUAUCAUUUACACUUAUUACUCACCUCGAUCCGGUCCAAAAUCUAGCCCGCGAUGCCUCGCCCGCAUGAAUCGACCUCCGGAUGCUCCAAAUCUAGCCACAAUCAGUACAUAAUCAUUAAAAUAUGCUAAGGGAGCGAAGCCCACUCAAAAAUAUCCAAUUUAACAUCAAAAUCCCGAAAUUGCUCAAACCCGGCCCCCGAGCCCACGCUUU